UCCUUUUUAAUGAAAAAUAUUUUACAAGAAAAAUAGUUUAAUUAGUUAUCAUAAAAUUACUUGAAAAAAUUCCUUCUUACCAAAUACACCCAUAACGACCCUUGACAACAUGUUCUUCAACUAUUUGGCAGAUCCAAUUGCUAUCUGGUGAAUAAGCUCUUGCUCAAAAGCUUUCAUGUCUUGCUCCUUUAAAUUUACACAUGCAUUUAUUCCACCACUGUCUCUUGAAUCCAUCAGUAGAAUAAAAUUCUUGAUUGGCAGGUCGAUUUGACUAAUCCAUAAAGGUUUGUCCCAACCAAAAUCAACAUCAUAAAAUUUGUAGCCACCACACAUGCAUCUAUUCCACCACUGUCUCUUGAAUCCAUCAGUUGAAUAAAAUUCUUGAUUGGC
Molecule: long non-coding RNA, 390 nt
Filed under: Nicotiana benthamiana
Lineage: Eukaryota; Viridiplantae; Streptophyta; Magnoliopsida; Solanales; Solanaceae
Description: long non-coding RNA (NBEN_LNC031339)
Source: RNAcentral